This 397-nucleotide ribosomal RNA is filed under the name uncultured bacterium. Its description in RNAcentral is "partial 16S ribosomal RNA". It matches the Rfam family "Bacterial small subunit ribosomal RNA", at positions 523 to 918 of the family's 1533-position model. The record is from RNAcentral.
AUACGUAGGGGGCGAGCGUUGUCCGGAAUGAUUGGGCGUAAAGGGCGCGUAGGCGGCCCGGUAAGUCUGGAGUGAAAGUCCUGUUUUUAAGAUGGGAAUUGCUUUGGAUACUGUCGGGCUUGAGUGCAGGAGAGGUAAGUGGAAUUCCCAGUGUAGCGGUGAAAUGCGUAGAGAUUGGGAGGAACACCAGUGGCGAAGGCGACUUACUGGACUGUAACUGACGCUGAGGCGCGAAAGUGUGGGGAGCAAACGGGAUUAGAUACCCUGGUAGUCCACACUGUAAACGAUGAAUGCUAGGUGUAGGGGGUAUCGACCCCUUCUGUGCCGCAGUCAACACAAUAAGCAUUCCGCCUGGGGAGUACGGCCGCAAGGUUGAAACUCAAAGGAAUUGACGGGG